GGGUUGUGAGGUUAAGCGACUAAGCGUACACGGUGGAUGCCCUGGCAGUCAGAGGCGAUGAAGGGCGUGCUAAUCUGCGAUAAGCGCCGGUAAGGUGAUAUGAACCGUUAUAACCGGCGAUACCCGAAUGGGGAAACCCAGUGUGAUUCGUCACACUAUCAUUAACUGAAUCCAUAGGUUAAUGAGGCGAACCGGGGGAACUGAAACAUCUAAGUACCCCGAGGAAAAGAAAUCAACCGAGAUUCCCCCAGUAGCGGCGAGCGAACGGGGAGGAGCCCAGAGCCUGAAUCAGCAUGUGUGUUAGUGGAAGCGUCUGGAAAGGCGCGCGAUACAGGGUGACAGCCCCGUACACAAAAGCGCAUGUGUUGUGAGCUCGAUGAGUAGGGCGGGACACGUGGUAUCCUGUCUGAAUAUGGGGGGACCAUCCUCCAAGGCUAAAUACUCCUGACUGACCGAUAGUGAACCAGUACCGUGAGGGAAAGGCGAAAAGAACCCCGGCGAGGGGAGUGAAAAAGAACCUGAAACCGUGUACGUACAAGCAGUGGGAGCACCCUUUGGGGUGUGACUGCGUACCUUUUGUAUAAUGGGUCAGCGACUUAUAUUCUGUAGCAAGGUUAACCGAAUAGGGGAGCCGGAGGGAAACCGAGUCUUAAUUGGGCGUUAAGUUGCAGGGUAUAGACCCGAAACCCGGUGAUCUAGCCAUGGGCAGGUUGAAGGUUGGGUAACACUAACUGGAGGACCGAACCGACUAAUGUUGAAAAAUUAGCGGAUGACCUGUGGCUGGGGGUGAAAGGCCAAUCAAACCGGGAGAUAGCUGGUUCUCCCCGAAAGCUAUUUAGGUAGCGCCUCGUGAAUUCAUCUCCGGGGGUAGAGCACUGUUUCGGCUAGGGGGCCAUCCCGGCUUACCAACCCGAUGCAAACUGCGAAUACCGGAGAAUGUUAUCACGGGAGACACACGGCGGGUGCUAACGUCCGUCGUGAAGAGGGAAACAACCCAGACCGCCAGCUAAGGUCCCAAAGUCAUAGUUAAGUGGGAAACGAUGUGGGAAGGCCCAGACAGCCAGGAUGUUGGCUUAGAAGCAGCCAUCAUUUAAAGAAAGCGUAAUAGCUCACUGGUCGAGUCGGCCUGCGCGGAAGAUGUAACGGGGCUAAACUAUGCACCGAAGCUGCGGCAGCGACACUAUGUGUUGUUGGGUAGGGGAGCGUUCUGUAAGCCUGUGAAGGUGUGUCGUGAGGCAUGCUGGAGGUAUCAGAAGUGCGAAUGCUGACAUAAGUAACGAUAAAGCGGGUGAAAAGCCCGCUCGCCGGAAGACCAAGGGUUCCUGUCCAACGUUAAUCGGGGCAGGGUGAGUCGACCCCUAAGGCGAGGCCGAAAGGCGUAGUCGAUGGGAAACGGGUUAAUAUUCCCGUACUUGGUGUUACUGCGAAGGGGGGACGGAGAAGGCUAUGUUGGCCGGGCGACGGUUGUCCCGGUUUAAGCGUGUAGGUGUGUGUUCCAGGUAAAUCCGGUUCACUUUAACACUGAGGCGUGAUGACGAGGCACUACGGUGCUGAAGCAACAAAUGCCCUGCUUCCAGGAAAAGCCUCUAAGCAUCAGGUAACAUCAAAUCGUACCCCAAACCGACACAGGUGGUCAGGUAGAGAAUACCAAGGCGCUUGAGAGAACUCGGGUGAAGGAACUAGGCAAAAUGGUGCCGUAACUUCGGGAGAAGGCACGCUGACACGUAGGUGAAGUGAUUUACUCAUGGAGCUGAAGUCAGUCGAAGAUACCAGCUGGCUGCAACUGUUUAUUAAAAACACAGCACUGUGCAAACACGAAAGUGGACGUAUACGGUGUGACGCCUGCCCGGUGCCGGAAGGUUAAUUGAUGGGGUCAGCGCAAGCGAAGCUCCUGAUCGAAGCCCCGGUAAACGGCGGCCGUAACUAUAACGGUCCUAAGGUAGCGAAAUUCCUUGUCGGGUAAGUUCCGACCUGCACGAAUGGCGUAAUGAUGGCCAGGCUGUCUCCACCCGAGACUCAGUGAAAUUGAACUCGCUGUGAAGAUGCAGUGUACCCGCGGCAAGACGGAAAGACCCCGUGAACCUUUACUAUAGCUUGACACUGAACAUUGAGCCUUGAUGUGUAGGAUAGGUGGGAGGCUUUGAAGUGUGGACGCCAGUCUGCAUGGAGCCGACCUUGAAAUACCACCCUUUAAUGUUUGAUGUUCUAACGUGGACCCGUGAUCCGGGUUGCGGACAGUGUCUGGUGGGUAGUUUGACUGGGGCGGUCUCCUCCUAAAGAGUAACGGAGGAGCACGAAGGUUGGCUAAUCCUGGUCGGACAUCAGGAGGUUAGUGCAAUGGCAUAAGCCAGCUUGACUGCGAGCGUGACGGCGCGAGCAGGUGCGAAAGCAGGUCAUAGUGAUCCGGUGGUUCUGAAUGGAAGGGCCAUCGCUCAACGGAUAAAAGGUACUCCGGGGAUAACAGGCUGAUACCGCCCAAGAGUUCAUAUCGACGGCGGUGUUUGGCACCUCGAUGUCGGCUCAUCACAUCCUGGGGCUGAAGUAGGUCCCAAGGGUAUGGCUGUUCGCCAUUUAAAGUGGUACGCGAGCUGGGUUUAGAACGUCGUGAGACAGUUCGGUCCCUAUCUGCCGUGGGCGCUGGAGAACUGAGGGGGGCUGCUCCUAGUACGAGAGGACCGGAGUGGACGCAUCACUGGUGUUCGGGUUGUCAUGCCAAUGGCACUGCCCGGUAGCUAAAUGCGGAAGAGAUAAGUGCUGAAAGCAUCUAAGCACGAAACUUGCCCCGAG
RNAcentral lists this ribosomal RNA (2787 nucleotides) under Salmonella enterica. Its description in RNAcentral is "partial 23S ribosomal RNA". It matches the Rfam family "Bacterial large subunit ribosomal RNA". Lineage: Bacteria; Pseudomonadati; Pseudomonadota; Gammaproteobacteria; Enterobacterales; Enterobacteriaceae. The record is from RNAcentral.